Long non-coding RNA from Balaenoptera acutorostrata (minke whale), 3793 nucleotides. RefSeq lists it as uncharacterized. The record is from RefSeq and is a predicted model, not a curated record. The transcript has 4 exons. NCBI's taxonomy places the organism in Eukaryota, Metazoa, Chordata, Mammalia, Artiodactyla, Balaenopteridae.
CCCAGCCAAAAUUGGUUCGCUCCGCUCGGGUUUUUUCCAUACAGGGGCUAAAAAUCUUUUCUGUACGCAUGUGUCUUGUGUAGGCUGCGGUUGGCUGAUGGUCCCAUCCGUCAUCGGAUGAGCCAAUGAAGUGAGCCUCAAGAUCCACUUCCCGCCCUUCGGUGGGGAGCCCUGGGAGUGGAUUUGGGUCUUUGUCCGCACUCAUAGCCGUGUGGACCAAGCGGUUGAGAAAGCAGCUUGGGAGCGGGCAGGAAGCUUGCUCACCCGCUGGCGACCGACUGCCUUAUUUGCUGUUAUAGCGGGGAGGGUGAAUGAGAGAGUGAAAGGAUGGAGAGUCUCCUCUUCGCGAAUACUAAACCAAUUCAAGGUCCCCACCCGGCACUGGGUGGCAGCGCUGGGAUUGGGCACCAAGGCGCCGAGGCCAGCCUCCGCUUCCAGCCGAGGGCGGUGACUAGGGCAACCCAUUUUACACAUGAAGUGACUGAGUCUUGAAGAAGUUAAGGUACGCUCUAGGCUGAUGUCUCACAAGUCUUCUCUUGUCUCUGGCCUAGGCAUUGGCCUGAGCCCCAGCUUCAUUCAUCCAGCUGCCUACCAGGUAGUUCCUCUGGAAUAUCUUCCAGGUAUCUAGUAAAGAAGUGUUAUCUCUCCUUAUCAAAAGAAAACCAGUGACCUCUAGGGUUGCACCGGGUCCACCACACCUGACUGUGCAGUUACCCCUGGGGAGCAAAACACUCCUCUCUACUUUCGAUGCCCCAAAGAAUGCAUCAGUGAGCUUUCCCUUUUUCAAGGUUAGCACAAGCCUUGUGAGUCAAGGGACUUCCCUGGUGGUCCAGUGAUUAAGACUCUGCACUUCCACUGCAGGGGCGUGAGUUCGAUCCUUGGUCGGGGAACUAAGAUCCCAGAUGUGGUACGGCCAAAAAAAAAAAGACUAAUGAGUCAAGCAGGCCUUUAAUGAAGUUAGGAGAUCACAGAUAAAUACAUUUCUGGUUCUUCUGAUCUAUACAACUCAAACUCUUAUGCAGCUUGGGGCCCUUUAUGAGUCUCUCCUUGCCCCGCCCUCCAACCUUUUUCCAUGGUCCUUGGAGUUCCCAUGUCCCAAAGACGACGACUUCACAGGUGACCAACACUAUGAAUGGCUUCCCUCUUCAUAAAAACCUUCUCUCUACCCAUGGGGUGACUUCAUCCUGCUGGCCUGGACAGGAUGACCAUCUAUCAAUACCAUACGAGGGCUUCCACGUACACCUCCAACUCGGUUCAUCUGAAACGAAACUCAUCUCCUUCGGACGUACCUGGUGGCCUCGUCUGGCGCCACAGCACCACCAUCCAGUCAGCAGUACAAGCACGUGUUUGAGAGUCGUUGACUCGCCUCCCUUUCCUUCGUCCUCUACCCUCACCAGGCAGUUUCCAAGUCCUGUUAUUCUACCUCUUAAGUAUUUACUAAAUUCAUCCUCUCACUUGCAAAGGACCCUGACUGGACCUCAAUUCUGCCUGCCUUCCAACUGGUUCUCGGCAUUACUGUCUGAGGGAGCUUAUACUGGCAGGAAGCUUUCUGAAGUGCAAAUCUGAUCAAGUCCCUCCUCUAUUUAAAAUCCUUUGAUGACCAAAUAUCUCCUGCAGAAUAAAACCCCAAUUAUGGCAAUCAAGGUCCUUCACAGUGAGGUUUCCGCCUACCUCUUCAGCUUUCUCUGCUAUACCUUUGACCCAUACCACAGUAUUUGAUUUCCUGAAUGCACCAUUUUCUCUCCAUACUUUACACGCUAUUCCGGCUACCAGGAAUGACUUCCCUGCCCUCAUUUGUACAUGUCUUCCAAAUCCAGCUCAAAUACCUCCCCUAAGUAGCCUCCCCUGAUCUGUACUGGCUCGGAUUUCGGUGUGCCUCCUCCUCUGAUCCCACAGCCCACUUACAGCCUUCCUACAUGUCAUUUAAUGCAGCCUGCUGACUCAAGUGUUAACUGUUGCUUCACUUCUCUCUUGUCCCCGCUUAACUGUGAGUUGAGAGGCAGGAGCUGUCUUGUUCCUCUCUAUAUCUCCAAUACCUAACAAAGAGUUUCACACACAGCAGGUGCUUAAUAAGUGUUUGUUGCAUUUAAGACAGGAGGAUGGCAUGACUGAAGACUCAAAGGGUCUGUCAAGGAAUGGACUGUACUGCCUGGUUGCCCUAGUGGCCAAGGGAUGUGCAGUGGAGUUGCAUGGACUACGCCUGGAAAAGAGGUCGUGUCAGUUCUUUGAAGGCCCUGGGAGCCCUGCCCAGGAGUUUGGGCUUAUUUGGUGGGCAGUAGAGAACCAUGAGGUGCUGGCUGAUCAGUGCUGUGCCAAAGAUGGGAGGAUGGAUUAGAGAAGGCGAAGGCUUGGUUUAGAGAAAACAGGUAGCUGUUAGCUCUGUCUUACAGUUGAUGAAACAGUGGCUUGGGCAGAUGGUGACUACCCAAGGCCACACAGCUGGUAAGCAACAGAACUAGGAGUGGAACAAGUUCUGGACUAUGCCAAGUCCAGAGAUCUUUAUACCACACCACAGCGGGUAUGCAGUAGAUGGGGCUUCAAGGUUGUCCCAAUGUGAAUGGAUACUCCAUUAAUCAGGAUAGGAUAGGUUAUAUUGCAGACACAAUUCUGAAAUCUCUGUGGCUUAACAUAACACACUUAUUUGCCAUUCACACAAAGUCCACUGUGGCGCUGGACAUCACCUUAAGGCAGCUUAGCCAUCCAGGCUGCUUUGACAUGCUUCCACAGUUGUUGCCACGAUAGGGAAAGAGCACUUGGAGAAUCACAUACCAGCUUGAUUUUGGAAGUGACACACAUUACUUCCAGUACGGUCCACUGGCCAGAACUAGUCUGAUGACCUCACUUGACUACCCAGGGACUGGGAAAUACAGUCUUCUAUGUGUCCAGGAAGCGGAAGAGGGCAGGAAAUAUUUGUGGGCAAUAGUAAUGCCUACCCAGGACAUCAGGAGCCGAUGCCUAUAGAGAAGGAGGGGUGAGGCCAAACAGUCUUGAGUGUAUGAAAUGUGCAAAGGAGAGAGGUUUUGCUCAGGAUUUGUGUUAGGUCAAGGCUGUUCUAGUCACAGGCAGCCAGCAGGGGAACCUCACCCGGAGGAUAGUACCUUCUUAACCCUUUCCUGCUCAGCAUCUUUCACCUCUGCUCCAGCUGAGGGAGAAGUGAAGCAAAAUCUGUAAUGACCCUGAGAGGGAGGCAGGACUGGUACAGAUGACCGCAGUUUUCAGAUGAGGAACCCAAGGAAUGAAGACAUUCUGUGAUGUGCCUGCAUGUGCAGCAACCAAAGCAUCAAAACCACGGAUCCCUCCUCUGGCUUCUAACCAGACAACCCUCCUGAGUCCUGGGGCUGCUUCUGCUUCUGACAGAGCACCUGGAAGAAAUUCUCACCUGAAAACCCCACCUCAGACAUCUCGAGUGUCCGCCCGGCAGGCUAACCGCCCUUCUUUCCUGCUGAGGUGGAGCUCUGGACUCCCACCCUGGCAGGGCCACACGAUCCUUCCUUCCCCUCCUCAGCCGACCGCACCAAAGAAACCAGAACCCAGGCCGAAGUAUCAGAAACGUGUAUUCUUUUUCUUUUAAUAGUAAACCUCUUUACAACAAAUAUAGUGAAAGAGUUUUCAAACAAAACUCAUAAGAAUCUCGAGGACUUUGUCUUUUCUUAUUGUGUAGAAUACUAAGAAAGCAUCACCAUACAGCACAAAAAGAAAUAUUGAAAACAAAUCAACAGUCACACACUUGGACUCGCCCUCCCCAGGACCCAGGAUGAGCCCUAGGAGUGUGGGUGAUUGUCGGGUUUGAGGA